UACGUAGGUGGCAAGCGUUGUCCGGAUUUACUGGGCGUAAAGCGCGUGUAGGCGGCUAUGUAAGUCGGGCGUGAAAUCCCACGGCUCAACCGUGGAAGUGCACCCGAAACUGCGUAGCUAGAGUCCUGGAGAGGAAGGUGGAAUGCUUGGUGUAGAGGUGAAAUUCGUAGAUAUCAAGCGGAACACCGGUGGCGAAGGCGGCCUUCUGGACAGUGACUGACGCUGAGACGCGAAAGCGUGGGGAGCAAACAGG
RNAcentral lists this ribosomal RNA (253 nucleotides) under uncultured bacterium. RNAcentral's name for it is "partial 16S ribosomal RNA". It matches the Rfam family "Bacterial small subunit ribosomal RNA", at positions 524 to 776 of the family's 1533-position model. The record is from RNAcentral.